This is a long non-coding RNA of Nomascus leucogenys (northern white-cheeked gibbon), 2482 nucleotides long. RefSeq lists it as uncharacterized. The record is from RefSeq and is a predicted model, not a curated record. The transcript has 3 exons. Lineage: Eukaryota; Metazoa; Chordata; Mammalia; Primates; Hylobatidae.
UGUGGAUCUGUAGGGCAGAGAGAGGAGGGGUGAAGCCCAUGGCCUUAGUACAGCCCCACUCACCCUCACCCCCAAAUACUACCUACCCAUGGCCACGGCCCUGCUUAAGCCCCACUCUGGCCAGGGGAGACGUUCCCUGUCCCUGCAUCCUGAGGCCACCUCCGCUAUAUCUGAACUGUUCAGCCCCCGUCAUUUUCCUGCCUGUGUCAUACUGUCAUGCUGCCCUGUUAAGUGGCAGUCAUCCCUGUUGGGUUGGAAGUUCCCUUCCUAAGGGUGGGAACGGGGACUGUCCACCACUGGGUGUCCAGGGCUCAGCACCAGGCCCGGCAUGUGACUGUGCACGUGGUAAAUGUUGGAUAAAGAUGUUCACUCAACAGAUAUCAAGGGGCCACUCUGGGUUUUCAGUUCUGAGGUCAAGAUCUCUGCAGUGCUCCUGACGUCCUAGUUUGGGGGAGACAGAAUCUGAGGAACCAAAGACAAGUACAGAUACUGCAUCAUCAUCUGUGGUGGGAAGAGGCCCAUGUGAAUGCCACGUGAACCUGAGGCAUGAAAGUCCUUGCCAGCCCCAAGGGUACUGCUCCAGCUGCCGCCUCCAGGGGCCUGUCCCUCUGCAGGUCCCCAGCUCUGUCCCUCCCUCCCUCUCCUGCUCAGGCUGAGACUUGCGUUUUCCUGGGAACGCCACCUCUAGAAGCCAACUCCAAGGCCCUCUCUCCCGAGUCCCUGCCCGGAUGACAAGCUCCCUCCUUGGAAUGUUUUCCCCACAAUCCUCAUGAGAACACCGUGAGCCCAGGAGGGAAGUUCCUAUUCACAGCUGGGGAAACUGAGACCCAUGGAAGGAAGAUGACUUGGCUCAAGUCCUUCAGCUCCCCUGAUGCCUGCAGCAGGGCUCUCACAUCAUGCCUGGCCCCGUGUGGCUCAUUGCUGGUGUGAUCUAAAUUCUACACAGGGAGUAGCAGUGGGGGGUCUCUGAAGGGAUGUUGGAGUCGCUGCCUCCUGCCUUCCCCGUCUGCACAAGGACUCCAAUGUGGAGGUGAGUGUCCCGUCUGGGCUGUGUCUCAGGUGUGCUCCCUCAAAAAGAAAGCGCAGAGCCCAGGCCCGGAGGCCCGGAGGCCCGGAGCUCCCCUCGACAGGCUGAGCCCCGCCUUGGGCUCCCAGAUGAGGUGGUCCAGGACCGGGAACGAUUUAGUUCUGCUGAGGUUUCAGUUACAAACUCUGCCAUCACGCUGGAGCCUAGUGAGGUUCCCAGUUGGAAAAAGAAAAACAGUUCUUUCUGGCUGGCUGAAGAAACGGCCCCAGCAAGGAGCUGGCAAGUGUGUAAGUAAACACGGCUCCAGCCGGCACAGUCGGGCUCUGUCAAGACUGGCCCUGAGGCUGCAGAGGCACCAGAGGGUCUAGGAGAAGGCGCAACUGUGGGGAGAGAAGUGGGGAGACAGGCCUGCCAACCUUGUUGAGGCAUCAGGAGAUGUUGGCCUCUCCCCACCUCUAGAGGUCUGGGAAGCUCCCACGGCCUUCUGCAGCCCCUGCUGGAGCCUAGGUGGCGAGCUCAUGAUUGCACAGCUGCCCAGACCACCUGUCCAGCAGUUAGAGCUCAGGACCCAUGUGACAGGCUCUGAAGCUGCAGCCCCACAAUGGAUGGCUACCUCUGCACAGCGAAAGACCUGGAUGCUCUAUUCAUUCAACAGAAUACAGAAGGCACUGGGAAUAGAGUGAACAAUGACAGCCAAUGCACAGCUGCCCACAAAGGUGGGCUCCUGGGGGAGGGUCAUCCCUCCGAGAAGAGGGCGGCACCAAGACCCACACACCUGAAAAAUGUGGUACUUCAUGUCGCUGAUCUCGAUGGUCUUGCUGCUGUCCCCAUCCUGUUCUGAUUUAUUGGUCAUUAGUGUCUUGAACCUGGAGCAAAGGAGACAAAGCAAGGUGGGUUUUGAACCUUUUACUCCACCCCUGUGUGGCGAUGGCACCAUCUGUCACCUGAGCGGCCACCACAAGACGGAGCAUUUAAAAAAUUACUGCUGUGCUCCUAAAAUAAUUUUCAGCAAGUGCCAUUUUACACCAUCUUAGGAAGACAUCUGGGCUGAGCCCGAUUCUGUCCCCACCACCCACCAUACAAGCAACCUGACGCCUGUGGCCAGAAUGCUGACUCUUCAUUCCAGAAUAUUUAUGUUUUCUAAUAAUCAAAAGCAAUAACUCGGCCACAAAGAACACCACUUCAGAGCCCCCCUUUCCUGCUGCCCCGGGUUCACCCUGUCUUGUCCCGCUGUGGGGCGAGUGGGGCUCCCCUCGACGUGACCGCAGUCUGAGGGGCAGAGGCUGCAGGGUACAGCCCCAGCGAGACACUGUCACCUCGAAUCUGAAACAAGGUGCUUCUGUGCCCCUGGGCUGGGAGUUUGUUAUCUGAGGCUGCCUACCUGUUAGAAGCUGUCACCAGCAGGACUUUAUGUGCAUAAAACAGCUUUCCUUCCACCAGGAAGGUCACAUCUGA